CUACGUAGGGGGCGAGCGUUGUCCGGAAUGAUUGGGCGUAAAGGGCGCGUAGGCGGCCCGGUAAGUCUGGAGUGAAAGUCCUGUUUUUAAGAUGGGAAUUGCUUUGGAUACUGUCGGGCUUGAGUGCAGGAGAGGUAAGUGGAAUUCCCAGUGUAGCGGUGAAAUGCGUAGAGAUUGGGAGGAACACCAGUGGCGAAGGCGACUUACUGGACUGUAACUGACGCUGAGGCGCGAAAGUGUGGGGAGCAAACAGGAUUAGAUACCCUGGUAGUCCACACUGUAAACGAUGAAUGCUAGGUGUAGGGGGUAUCGACCCCUUCUGUGCCGCAGUCAACACAAUAAGCAUUCCGCCUGGGGAGUACGGCCGCAAGGCUAAAACUCAAAGGAAUUGACGGGG
RNAcentral lists this ribosomal RNA (397 nucleotides) under uncultured bacterium. RNAcentral's name for it is "partial 16S ribosomal RNA". It matches the Rfam family "Bacterial small subunit ribosomal RNA", at positions 523 to 918 of the family's 1533-position model. The record is from RNAcentral.